CUAACACAUGCAAGUCGAACGAACCCUUCGGGGUUAGUGGCGCACGGGUGCGUAACGCGUGGGAAUCUGCCCUUUGCUUCGGAAUAACAGUUAGAAAUGACUGCUAAUACCGGAUGAUGUCUUCGGACCAAAGAUUUAUCGGCAAAGGAUGAGCCCGCGUAGGAUUAGGUAGUUGGUGGGGUAAAGGCCUACCAAGCCGACGAUCCUUAGCUGGUCUGAGAGGAUGAUCAGCCACACUGGGACUGAGACACGGCCCAGACUCCUACGGGAGGCAGCAGUGGGGAAUAUUGGACAAUGGGCGAAAGCCUGAUCCAGCAAUGCCGCGUGAGUGAUGAAGGCCUUAGGGUCGUAAAGCUCUUUUACCCGGGAUGAUAAUGACAGUACCGGGAGAAUAAGCCCCGGCUAACUCCGUGCCAGCAGCCGCGGUAAUACGGAGGGGGCUAGCGUUGUUCGGAAUUACUGGGCGUAAAGCGUACGUAGGCGGUUAUUCAAGUCAGAGGUGAAAGCCCGGGGCUCAACCCCGGAACGGCCUUUGAAACUAGGUAGCUAGAGUCUUGGAGAGGUCAGUGGAAUUCCGAGUGUAGAGGUGAAAUUCGUAGAUAUUCGGAAGAACACCAGUGGCGAAGGCGACUGACUGGACAAGUACUGACGCUGAGGUACGAAAGCGUGGGGAGCAAACAG
Molecule: ribosomal RNA, 681 nt
Filed under: uncultured Alphaproteobacteria bacterium
Lineage: Bacteria; Pseudomonadati; Pseudomonadota; Alphaproteobacteria
Description: bacterial SSU rRNA
Rfam family: Bacterial small subunit ribosomal RNA
Source: RNAcentral